GAUGAACGCUGGCGGCGUGCCUAAUACAUGCAAGUCGAGCGAACAGACGAGGAGCUUGCUCCUCUGACGUUAGCGGCGGACGGGUGAGUAACACGUGGAUAACCUACCUAUAAGACUGGGAUAACUUCGGGAAACCGGAGCUAAUACCGGAUAAUAUAUUGAACCGCAUGGUUCAAUAGUGAAAGACGGUUUUGCUGUCACUUAUAGAUGGAUCCGCGCCGCAUUAGCUAGUUGGUAAGGUAACGGCUUACCAAGGCAACGAUGCGUAGCCGGCCUGCGAGGGUGAUCGGCCACACUGGAACUGAGACACGCUCCAGACUCCUACGGGAGUCAGCAGUAGGGAAUCUUCCGCAAUGGGCGAAAGCCUGACGGAGCAACGUCGCGUGAGUGAUGAAGGUCUUCGGAUCGUAAAACUCUGUUAUGAGGUAAGAACAAUUGUGUAAGUAACUAUGCACGUCUUGACGGUACCUAAUCAGAAAGCCACGGCUAACUACGUG
Molecule: ribosomal RNA, 497 nt
Filed under: uncultured bacterium
Lineage: Bacteria
Description: partial 16S ribosomal RNA
Rfam family: Bacterial small subunit ribosomal RNA
Source: RNAcentral